Molecule: ribosomal RNA, 162 nt
Filed under: Primula alcalina
Lineage: Eukaryota; Viridiplantae; Streptophyta; Magnoliopsida; Ericales; Primulaceae
Description: 5.8S ribosomal RNA
Rfam family: 5.8S ribosomal RNA
About the family: 5.8S ribosomal RNA (5.8S rRNA) is a component of the large subunit of the eukaryotic ribosome. It is transcribed by RNA polymerase I as part of the 45S precursor that also contains 18S and 28S rRNA. Functionally, it is thought that 5.8S rRNA may be involved in ribosome translocation.
Source: RNAcentral
AAAACGACUCUCGGCAACGGAUAUCUAGGCUCUCGCAUCGAUGAAGAACGUAGCAAAAUGCGAUACUUGGUGUGAAUUGCCGAAUCCCGUGAACCAUCGAGUUUUUGAACGCAAGUUGCGCCCGAAGCCAUUAGGCUGAGGGCACGUCUGCCUGGGCGUCUC